UUUCGCAAUGCCCGAAAGGGUGACGAAGCGACGCCGCGUGAGCGAAGAAGGCCUUAGGGUUGUAAAGCUCUGUCGAGGAUUAUGAAACGUAGAUGAGUUAAUACCUCAUUUAUUUGACAAAGGCCCCAAAGGAAGUCACGGCUAACUCUGUGCCAGCAGCCGCGGUAAUACAGAGGUGGCAAGCGUUGUUCGGUAUUAUUGGGCGUAAAGAGCACGUAGGUGGUUUUGUAAGUCAGAUGUGAAAGCCUUCUGUUCAACGGAAGAAUUGCAUCUGAAACUGCGAGUCUUGAGUGUAGGAGGGGAGAAUGGAACUUCUGGUGGAGCGGUGAAAUGCGUAGAUAUCAGAAGGAACGCCGGCGGCGAAAGCGAUUCUCUGGCCUAUUACUGACACUCAGUGUGCGAAAGCUAGGGGAGCAAACGGGAUUAGAUACCCCGGUAGUCCUAGCCGUAAACGAUGGGCACUAAGUAGAGGGGUUUU
RNAcentral lists this ribosomal RNA (478 nucleotides) under uncultured Candidatus Scalindua sp. RNAcentral describes it as "bacterial SSU rRNA". It matches the Rfam family "Bacterial small subunit ribosomal RNA", at positions 364 to 832 of the family's 1533-position model. Lineage: Bacteria; Pseudomonadati; Planctomycetota; Candidatus Brocadiia; Candidatus Brocadiales; Candidatus Scalinduaceae. The record is from RNAcentral.